RNAcentral lists this non-coding RNA (24 nucleotides) under Arabidopsis thaliana (thale cress). Lineage: Eukaryota; Viridiplantae; Streptophyta; Magnoliopsida; Brassicales; Brassicaceae. The record is from RNAcentral.
ACCGUUCACCGAUGUUUUCCAGCC